CCAGCCACGCCUUCCAGCCCAGAGCAAAGUUUUCAGAAGAUAAGAACUCUGUGGUUUUCAGCAAGGAGACAAUAAGAAGUUGUUCCUAAUUGGCUUCCUGUCGCAGUCCUCAGGGCACCUGCUGGUUCCAGCCUGGAUCCAGCCUACCUUGACCUUUGCCAGUUGGCACCGAUGUGCAGAUAACCAGUGAAGCCCAGGAGCAAAUCCUCAAAUCCAGACCUGCAGAAUGGGACGAGUCUUGUGUGAAAUUCUCAGGCGAGAGCUCUGAGCCCCAAGGCCUCCUUCGCACACCCCGGCCCUGGGUCUGAUCUGGUUUCACGACCUGUUUCAGCUCCAUGCUGUGCCGUGAGAAACCUCUCUGCAGGUCCCUACUUG
This 375-nucleotide long non-coding RNA is filed under the name Homo sapiens (human). RNAcentral's name for it is "non-protein coding lnc-GTF2IRD2-2:6". The record is from RNAcentral. Lineage: Eukaryota; Metazoa; Chordata; Mammalia; Primates; Hominidae.